RNAcentral lists this ribosomal RNA (481 nucleotides) under uncultured bacterium. RNAcentral's name for it is "bacterial SSU rRNA". It matches the Rfam family "Bacterial small subunit ribosomal RNA", at positions 501 to 985 of the family's 1533-position model. The record is from RNAcentral.
CUACGUGCCAGCAGCCGCGGUAAUACGGAAGGUCCUGGUGUUAUCCGGAUUUAUUGGGUUUAAAGGGAGCGUAGGCCGCAGAUUAAGUGUGUUGUGAAAUUCAGGCGCCCAACGUCUGACUUGCAGCGCAAACUGGUCUGCUUGAGUUCGCGCAACGCAGGCGGAAUUCGUCGUGUAGCGGUGAAAUGCUUAGAUAUGACGAAGAACUCCGAUUGCGAAGGCAGCUUGCGGGAGCGUUACUGACGCUGAAGCUCGAAAGUGCGGGUAUCGAACAGGAUUAGAUACCCUGGUAGUCCGCACGGUAAACGAUGGAUGCCCGUUUUUGGCUUUUAAAGUCAGAGACCAAGCGAAAGCAUUAAGCAUCCCACCUGGGGAGUACGCCGGCAACGGUGAAACUCAAAGGAAUUGACGGGGGCCCGCACAAGCGGAGGAACAUGUGGUUUAAUUCGAUGAUACGCGAGGAACCUUACCCGGGCUUGAA